This 2174-nucleotide long non-coding RNA is filed under the name Homo sapiens (human). RNAcentral describes it as "non-protein coding SLC25A25-AS1:22". Lineage: Eukaryota; Metazoa; Chordata; Mammalia; Primates; Hominidae. The record is from RNAcentral.
GCACCCCUCCAUCCCUCCAUCCCUGCACCCCUCCUUCGUUGUACCCCUCCAUCCUCCAUCUCUGCAUCCCUGCACCCCUCCAUCCUCCAUCCCUGUACCCUUACAUUCUCCAUCCCUGCAUUCCUCCAUCGCAGCAUCCCUGCAUGCCUCCGUUCUCUGCAUCCCUCCACCCCAGUAUCCCUGCACCUCUUCAUCCCUCCAUUCCUGCAUCCCUCUAUUUUUCCAUCCCUCCAUUCCUGUAUCCCUGUGCCCUCCAUCCUCCAUCCCAGCAUCCCUCCAUCCCUGCUCCCCACUCUCACUUCCCUUCCCUUCACAGACAGGCUUUUCCUGCCAUCCUCAGACCCCACCCAGGGUUACCUGAUGCCUUUCCAGCUGCACACGGGGACUGACUCACCUCUCUCUUUCUCAGUCCCAAAGUCCCGAAAGAGAGCAUCUGAUGUGGUCAGCUUGUGACAAGGCGUCCACCUUCUGUCCAUGACAUGGAGGCCAGGGGAAGGUCUCACUGCCCAGCACCCCACCCUGUGCUCCCAGGCCUUUUGAAUGUUCCUCCUGCUCAGCCCAGUGACUGCGGGCUGUGGCUCCUCCUCCAGCCUCCCCUCGAGAAGGAGAUCCGGUUGGCAGCUAAACCGCGCUGGGAACAGGGGCCUGAGUCCUGGACUAGGGCUCUUUCCCCGGGGCUGCUGCAGAUGGGGAGGAGCCUACACCCGCCUCCCGAGUGCUAAUCAGACCUGACAGGCUGGAGAAUGGCCAGUCAGCCUGAGGCCACCGCGGGACACCACCUAGGCCCAGCUUCUCCCCCCACCAGAGGGCGCCAGAGCCCGCCAAGCCUCGUAGGAGAUGGCAACAGGGCCUGCUGCUGCCACCUAGCGGCCAAUUCCGGGAAUGAAUCUCGGCACGCUCAUUACCCAGCGACUCUGCCCAUCUUGACCCUUUAUGUGAAGCAGAACAGCCGCUUCCGCAGUGAGCUGUCAGAAGGCGUCGUGCCUGUCUUGCUAGUGGGGAAACUGAGGCUCAGAGAGGCAGAAGACUUGCCCAAGAUCACACCACCGGGACCCAGGAUUCAAGCGCAGGCCUGCCCAGGCUCUCUGUGGCCUCCUGGCUGCGAGGAGGCAGCCAGGGACCAGGUGCCACCCUUCUGAGACACCUGAGAUCCCAGGCCCGAGAGGAUGAAGGCGGGAUUACCUGGAGCGUGUCUGAAUGCUGGAGGAAGAAGGGCAGCUGGGAGAUGAAGCUGUCAGGAUGGGCCGCAUCCCAUUUCCUGCCUCGUUUCAGUUCAACUUUCCAACAGACCUCCCUGGCUCGUCUUGCUCUUCUCUAAUGGACAAACAAACAGGCUCAGAGAGGUGGUGUGACUUGCCCAAGGUCACUCAGCUUGGAUGCUAUGGAACAGGGACGUCCACUGUCCCAGUCUGUUUAUGGGAAGCCGCUCUGCAACUGUCCUGACCCACCACAUGCCCCACCGCUGUUUCUCUUGCCCUGACCCCUUGUUCCCUGGACCAGGGUGGCACAGCUCCAGGCUCUUGGGCCCUUCCCGAGGGCAGGCACCUGUGACUGUGUCCCCAAAGACCUGAGUGGCUGAGGGGGCCCCACAGAGCUUGGACUUCCUGGAGGACAAGGAGGGGUCUGCCAGCCACCCCCACCACGCCCGCCCCAGGGCUCCCCUGGAGCUUCCAUGCCAGCCGGACUCAGGACCCCUGUGAUCACACUGGCCCCCCCACCGGAUGACCCAGGAUAAUCCAUCUCCCUGUUUGAAGGUCGGCUGAUUAGCAACCUUCAUUCCAUCUGCCUCCUUCAUUCCCCCUGGCCAUGUAAUGGGAUUCACAGCUUCUGGGGAUUAGGACAUGGACAUCUUGUGGCGGGGGCAUAAUUCUGUCGACGACACCAAGAAACACUUGGAUGUUAAGGAUUCACCGAACACUGUUCAGGCUCCAGGUGCUGGGAGCAGCAGUGAACAAAGCCAACAGACACUGCCACCCUCAAGGAGUUCACGUUCAUGGGCGAGGGAACAGAUGAGAAACCCGGCAAUGAAAGCUCCACCAUCUCUUCCCCUAAAGGCAACCACCAUUCUGAUUUCUCUCACCAAAGACUGGAAAAAUAUCCCAAUACCUGGAUGUAUGCCUCACGUGUCCCGCUGGCCCCAGCACCCAGGUAUAGUUAGUUACUGCUGUGCCUGG